Lathyrus oleraceus (garden pea) is the source of this 1335-nucleotide long non-coding RNA. RefSeq lists it as uncharacterized. The record is from RefSeq and is a predicted model, not a curated record. NCBI's taxonomy places the organism in Eukaryota, Viridiplantae, Streptophyta, Magnoliopsida, Fabales, Fabaceae. The transcript is spliced from 2 exons.
CCAAAAACAGUUAAAUCUUAAUUGAUUAACUCCUAAGUUCUAAUUAAAGGACUUAACAAAAACUUAAGAAAAACAACAAAAAAUCCUGGAGCCGGGCCUUUGCAAUGGACAAGGGGUGUAGGUCCAACAUGAGAAGUGUGGAUAGGAAUUGAUCCGCUUGACCUCAAACCCGGAUUCGAGCUUCAGAUAGGAAAGAAUGGAUCUCCGAUCUUCUUAUCCACCUGCGUACUAGCCUGGAUCGAAAAUGAGCUGGAGUUUCUCCGAAGGAAUUCAUCGCAUUGUGCGGCCAAGAAGACUCCGACGAAGCUCGCACAAGUCCGUUGCAUGUUCAGAUCCGUAUCACGCUCCUUGGCUCCUCUAGAUUCGACGUCUUACCUCACGAAUUCAUGAACUCUCCAAUGAAGAACCAAGAACAACAAUCGGAUUCGCGGAUACUCUCAACAUUGAAUCGACAUCGAGACCGAGACUGAAUUAACUUCGUUUCUUUUUCUUGUGCGCGAAUUGAAAGAAAUUGAAGAGAGAGUGGUUACCUACCGGAAUCGAUGUGUUGACGGUGCGGUUGGUUGUUCGUUCUGUGAGUUCCUGCAGAAUCGGCUAAACCGAGAGCGAAGAGGGAGAGCGUACUCGUGGCGCAAUGGAACUUCGAAGAUGGAAAGCGGAAUCGAAGCUGUGGAUUCACCGGUUCAGAUGAUUGAAGAGUGAUAUUGGAUUGAAGGUGAUGAAGUGGAUUGAAGGUUGGUGUGGUGAAGGUUUUGUGAAUGGAGGUUGAAGUGGCGGUUACCGGUUUUUGUGAGUUUGUUACGGUUGUUGAAGGAAUUGAAGAGAGGAAGAAGAAUCUGGAAAAAAUAUUUGAGAGCGGGAAGAAGAAUUUAUAGAAUUAAGUUUGAUUUUUCCGUUGCCGUUUAUUUCAUUUCUAUUGCCGUUUUGCAGUUUGGCUUAAUGAAGCUGGUAUUGGUACUUUGUGUUGGAGCUGUUGUUUUCAUAACUUGGUUGUUGCCGUCGGCUUGCGGAAGUAGCUCAAGUUUUUGUUGUGUUAGCUUGAACUUUGCGUUGGAAUUUUGCAGGUGGCUCGUUCAAGCUGUUGUUCUUUAAAUUGGCACGUGCAUUUUACUGCUGGUGUUGUAGUUGAUAAUGGCUUAUUGCUGCACUUAUUAUGCAGCUUGUGGCUUUUCGCUUGUUGCCGCGGUUUUAGCUUUGGCUUGCGCUAGCUUUUGAUUUCCUUCUUGCAACUGGCAUUGGAUGUACUUUGUUUUUUCCUUUCCAUAAUGUAUAUUAACAAUGUAAAGUAUUAUUUGAAUGAUGGUUUAGAAAUUGUAAAUGAAAUGAAUUUGGAUA